GUUUCCAUAGUGUAGUGGUUAUCACGUUCGUCUUACACACGAAAGGUCCCCAGUUAGAAACUGGGUGGAAACA
Hippocampus zosterae (dwarf seahorse) is the source of this 73-nucleotide non-coding RNA. NCBI's taxonomy places the organism in Eukaryota, Metazoa, Chordata, Actinopteri, Syngnathiformes, Syngnathidae. The record is from the annotation of a RefSeq genome assembly.